This 375-nucleotide ribosomal RNA is filed under the name uncultured bacterium. Its description in RNAcentral is "bacterial SSU rRNA". It matches the Rfam family "Bacterial small subunit ribosomal RNA", at positions 30 to 407 of the family's 1533-position model. The record is from RNAcentral.
AUUGAACGCUGGCGGCAUGCCUUACACAUGCAAGUCGAACGGCAGCACGGGAGCAAUCCUGGUGGCGAGUGGCGAACGGGUGAGUAAUAUAUCGGAACGUGCCCAGUCGUGGGGAUAACGUAGCGAAAGCUACGCUAAUACCGCAUACGAUCUAUGGAUGAAAGCGGGGGAUCGCAAGACCUCGCGCGAUUGGAGCGGCCGAUAUCAGAUUAGGUAGUUGGUGAGGUAAAGGCUCACCAAGCCGACGAUCUGUAGCUGGUCUGAGAGGACGACCAGCCACACUGGGACUGAGACACGGUCCAGACUCCUACGGGAGGCAGCAGUGGGAUAUUGGGACAAUGGGCGAAAGCCUGAUCCAGCCAUGCCGCGUGUGUG